RNAcentral lists this ribosomal RNA (468 nucleotides) under uncultured bacterium. Its description in RNAcentral is "partial 16S ribosomal RNA". It matches the Rfam family "Bacterial small subunit ribosomal RNA", at positions 28 to 507 of the family's 1533-position model. The record is from RNAcentral.
GACGAACGCUGGCGGCGUGCUUAACACAUGCAAGUCGAACGGACAGGCCCUGCUUUUGUUGGGUGCUCGAGUGGCGAACGGGUGUGUAACACGUGAGUAACCUGCCCCUGACUUUGGGAUAACUUCAGGAAACUGGGGCUCAUACCGGAUAGGAGCUCCUGCUGCAUGGUGGGGGUUGGAAAGUUUCGGCGGUUGGGGAUGGACUCGCGGCUUAUCAGCUUGCUGGUGGGGUAGUGGCUUACCAAGGCUUUGACGGGUAGCCGGCCUGAGAGGGUGACAGGCCACAUUGGGAUUGAGAUACGGCCCAGACUGCUACGGGAGGCAGCAGUGGGGAAUAUUGGACAAAGGGCGGAAGCCUGAUGCAGCAACGCCGCGUGCGGGAUGACGGCCUUCGGGUUGUAAACCGCUUUCGCCUGUGACGAAGCGUGAGUGACGGUAAUGGGUAAAGAAGCACCGGCUAACUACGUG